GGUUAAGUGACUAAGCGUACACGGUGGAUGCCUAGGCAGUCAGAGGCGAUGAAGGACGUGCUAAUCUGCGAAAAGCGCCGGUGAGCUGAUAUGAAGCGUUAUCAGCCGGCGAUGUCCGAAUGGGGAAACCCGGUGCAACUCGUUGCAUCAUCGUUAAGUGAAUCCAUAGCUUAACGAAGCGAACCAGGGGAACUGAAACAUCUCAGUACCCUGAGGAAAAGAAAUCAACCGAGAUUCCCCCAGUAGCGGCGAGCGAACGGGGAACAGCCCAGAGCCAUCAUCAGCUUGCGCAUCAGGAGAACGGUCUGGAAAGUCCGGCGACAGAGGGUGAUAGCCCCGUAUCCGAAGGUGCGCUUGUUGUGAGCUCGAUGAGUAGGGCGGGACACGUGAUAUCCUGUCUGAAGAUGGGGGGACCAUCCUCCAAGGCUAAAUACUCCUGACUGACCGAUAGUGAACCAGUACCGUGAGGGAAAGGCGAAAAGAACCCCGGCGAGGGGAGUGAAAUAGAACCUGAAACCGUGUACGUACAAGCAGUGGGAGCAUCCUUCGGGGUGUGACUGCGUACCUUUUGUAUAAUGGGUCAGCGACUUAUAUUCUGUAGCAAGGUUAACCGUAUAGGGGAGCCGCAGGGAAACCGAGUCUUAACUGGGCGUCUAGUUGCAGGGUAUAGACCCGAAACCCGGUGAUCUAGCCAUGGGCAGGUUGAAGGUUGGGUAACACUAACUGGAGGACCGAACCGACUAAUGUUGAAAAAUUAGCGGAUGACUUGUGGCUGGGGGUGAAAGGCCAAUCAAACCGGGAGAUAGCUGGUUCUCCCCGAAAGCUAUUUAGGUAGCGCCUCGUGACGUCAUCUACGGGGGUAGAGCACUGUUUCGGCUAGGGGUCCAUCCCGGAUUACCAACCCGAUGCAAACUGCGAAUACCGUAGAAUGUAAUCACGGGAGACACACGGCGGGUGCUAACGUCCGUCGUGAAGAGGGAAACAACCCAGACCGCCAGCUAAGGUCCCAAAGUCAUGGUUAAGUGGGAAACGAUGUGGGAAGGCCCAGACAGCCAGGAUGUUGGCUUAGAAGCAGCCAUCAUUUAAAGAAAGCGUAAUAGCUCACUGGUCGAGUCGGCCUGCGCGGAAGAUGUAACGGGGCUAAACCAUGCACCGAAGCUGCGGCAGCGACACGUAAGUGUUGUUGGGUAGGGGAGCGUUCUGUAAGCCUGCGAAGGUGGCCUGUGAGGGCUGCUGGAGGUAUCAGAAGUGCGAAUGCUGACAUAAGUAACGAUAAAGCGGGUGAAAAGCCCGCUCGCCGGAAGACCAAGGGUUCCUGUUCAACGUUAAUCGGAGCAGGGUGAGUCGACCCCUAAGGCGAGGCCGAAAGGCGUAGUCGAUGGGAAACAGGUUAAUAUUCCUGUACUGGGUGUGACUGCGAAGGGGGACGGAGAAAGCUAGGUUCGCCGGGCGACGGUUGUCCCGGUUCAAGCGUGAAGGUGGAAUGAGCAGGCAAAUCCGCUCAUUCUCAACACUGAGGCGUGAUGACGAGCCACUACGGUGGUGAAGGAAUUGAUGCUACGCUUCCAGGAAAAGCCUCUAAGCUCCAGGUCACAUCGAAUCGUACCCCAAACCGACACAGGUGGUCAGGUAGAGAAUACCCAGGCGCUUGAGAGAACUCGGGUGAAGGAACUAGGCAAAAUGGUGCCGUAACUUCGGGAGAAGGCACGCUGGCAUGUAGGUGGAGGGCCUUGCGCCCCGAGCUGAAGCCAGUCGCAGAUACCAGCUGGCUGCAACUGUUUAUUAAAAACACAGCACUGUGCAAACACGAAAGUGGACGUAUACGGUGUGACGCCUGCCCGGUGCCGGAAGGUUAAUUGAUGGGGUUAUCGCUUGCGAGAAGCUCUUGAUCGAAGCCCCGGUAAACGGCGGCCGUAACUAUAACGGUCCUAAGGUACGAAAUUCCUUGUCGGGUAAGUUCCGACCUGCACGAAUGGCGUAAUGAUGGCCAGGCUGUCUCCACCCGAGACUCAGUGAAAUUGAACUCGCCGUGAAGAUGCGGUGUACCCGCGGCAAGACGGAAAGACCCCGUGAACCUUUACUAUAGCUUGACACUGAACAUUGAGCCUUGAUGUGUAGGAUAGGUGGGAGGCUUUGAAGUGUGGACGCCAGUCUGCAUGGAGCCAACCUUGAAAUACCACCCUUUAAUGUUUGAUGUUCUCACUCAGGCCCGUUAUCCGGGCCGAGGACAGUGUCUGGUGGGUAGUUUGACUGGGGCGGUCUCCUCCCAAAGUGUAACGGAGAGCACGAAGGUUAGCUAAUCACGGUCGGACAUCGUGAGGUUAGUGCAAAGGCAUAAGCUAGCUUGACUGCGAGAGUGACGGCUCGAGCAGGUGCGAAAGCAGGUCUUAGUGAUCCGGUGGUUCUGAAUGGAAGGGCCAUCGCUCAACGGAUAAAGUACUCCGGGGAUAACAGGCUGAUACCGCCCAAGAGUUCAUAUCGACGGCGGUGUUUGGCACCUCGAUGUCGGCUCAUCACAUCCUGGGGCUGAAGUAGGUCCCAAGGGUAUGGCUGUUCGCCAUUUAAAGUGGUACGCGAGCUGGGUUUAGAACGUCGUGAGACAGUUCGGUCCCUAUCUGCCGUGGGCGCUGGAAGAUUGAGAGGGGCUGCUCCUAGUACGAGAGGACCGGAGUGGACGCACCACUGGUGUUCGGGUUGUCAUGCCAAUGGCAUUGCCCGGUAGCUACGUGCGGAAGAGAUAACCGCUGAAAGCAUCUAAGCGGGAAACUUGCCUCGAGAUGAGUCUUCCCUGAGGCCUAGAGCCUCCUGAAGGGACGUUAAAGACGAUGACGUUGAUAGGUCGGGUGUGUAAGCGCUGCGAGGCGUUGAGCUAACCGAUACUAAUGACCCGUGAGACUUAACCUU
RNAcentral lists this ribosomal RNA (2904 nucleotides) under Sodalis praecaptivus. Its description in RNAcentral is "Bacterial large subunit ribosomal RNA". It matches the Rfam family "Bacterial large subunit ribosomal RNA". The record is from Rfam by way of RNAcentral. Lineage: Bacteria; Pseudomonadati; Pseudomonadota; Gammaproteobacteria; Enterobacterales; Bruguierivoracaceae.